Diceros bicornis minor is the source of this 1869-nucleotide long non-coding RNA. RefSeq lists it as uncharacterized. The transcript is spliced from 6 exons. The record is from RefSeq and is a predicted model, not a curated record. Lineage: Eukaryota; Metazoa; Chordata; Mammalia; Perissodactyla; Rhinocerotidae.
CCCCUGCUCUGGCCCGCCGCGCCCGCGCCGCGGACACCAGCUCGCCUCUCUCUUGCCGGACGACCCCCGCGGAAGCCGGUCUGGCCCCCGCCUCGCCGUGCGCGCGAAGUUUAGGGGCCACCGGUGGCUCCUGUCUAGAGGCUCAGACUCCUCGGUGUUUCCCGCUGCUCGGUGAUAGUGACCUCUGCCCCGGGGCCCAAGAGCCGCGUGGGCCAACGCGCCCGGGCCGGGCCGGUGAAGAUGACCCUGCAGUGUGCAGGCAGCAGGACCGCUGGACCGCCAGAGGGAUAAGAGCCACCCCAGGAAUGACUGGCCUGGUGGGCUUGUGGCUUAGUGUAAACUGGAAACUCAGAUAAGUGAAAUAAGUAUCCAAAUAAUUUAGGGGAACAACUAUGCUUCAUUUAGCAUUAUUUGAACAGUUUUCUACUUUUCUCAUCAGCAGAGUUUGGGCCUUUGUGUUUAUAGAUAGGAGAGAGCUUUCACAAAUUGGCAGAUCCUGGCAGAAAUUUCCUUUCCACGCAUCUUUUUAGAUUUACUAACUAUAUAUAUAUCUUAUUGAUUGAUUCUUUGCAUUACCAUUAAUCUCCAGGUUAGCUGAGGGCACACUUUACAGCUUCUUAUUACUCUUUCUUAUUCUUUAAUUAUAGAAGUUGCAUUUUAGACCCAUAUUUAUCUCUUUUUUUCCAGAUAGGAUAAAGAGAGGUACAGAAGGUGAAUUACAUGAUUCAAUGGGUGUGGAGUAAAGUGGUCAAGAUUUUGAAGUAGAGUGGGUUUUUUUUUUGGUCCCACAACACUGCUGUAAUUUAAGUUUUAUCAGAUAUCACUUGAAGAUAGACUCAAACAACUAUUUGAAGAUUCCUAUGUACAUAACACGCUUCAGAUUUUGAGGCAAUGAUCUAUACUGCAGACCAUAUGAUUCCAGAGAAUUUGCCACAAAUCUAUGAACAAAUAAACUUCCAAAGCACAUUUUCCUUCAUUCUACUACGGAUUUAUCUACUUAAGUGAGUCAGACAUCAUGAAUUGUUGCUAUAGUUUCCAGCUAUGUUGAUACACCAACUGCAGCAUCCCACAACUUCGAAAAAAAGAAAACCAUUUUUAUGGGAAAGUAGUUUAAGACAUAAUCCUAGCCAUGAACUGGUCCAGAAAAUAAUUAACAAGAAAAGCCUGCUAUAAAAACAGAUGAGAUGCCCAGUAUGAGACAUGGAACUCUAUAAAGGAUCGGGAAAGUUUCUGUGGAACAUCCAUCAUUGUACCAGAACUUGAAGGAGCUCUUUAUUUGAAAGAAGAUGGCAAGAAAUCCUGGAAAAGGCGCUACUUUCUUUUACGGGCUUCUGGAAUUUAUUAUGUACCCAAAGGAAAGACAAAGAGAUCUACAAGGUGCUUUUAAUGCAAUCAUAUGCGAAUAUAAAUAUUACUGAUUCAACAAACAUUUCCUCUGCAAAGCACUGUGUUAAGACAGAGGGAAGGUUCAAGAUAAAGAAACAGAAGUUCAAGGAGGUGAAAUAACCAUACCCAGGACACACAGCAGGAUACUGGCAGAGCUGAGUCCAUUUGAUUUGAAGCCCAUGAUCUUUCUAGAGCACCACAGAGCCUCCAAUGUCAGUGGGUGAUGCUGGGAGAAAGGCAUCACCCAGAAGAGUUUACAAACUCAAAUGCCUAAAGUACCUGCAGGGCAUCACAGAUGCUGAGUGUCAGAAGAGGUGAAACUGAGGUGAUAAAUGGCAACUGACAAACAGUCUUCCUGAGCAGCAAGAGGUACACGCCCUCUCUAAAGAGAACAGCUGACAGCUGCUACCAGCUGAUUGUUGCUAUGUGAGACUAUAGGCCCAAUGUUGCCACAUCUAUUAAUUUUUCAAUAAAAGCUAACAA